UUCCAGAGCUUGAGUGCAGCUACAGUGUUGAUGGGCCUUAUAAGCUGUUUGAAUGGUUUUUGAGAAAUGGGCAGCCAUUGGGAGGUGCUUAAAGCAGAGUGGUGGGACAGUGAGAUUCACAUUUGGGAAUGAUUCGUCUGACUGCAGUGAGGAAAACAACCUGGUGGCCCAGUGAGGAGGGUGCUGAGUGAUUCAGUAGAAUGGACAUGAACUAAAGCACAGGUGAAUAUGGCGAUGAAGAGGCAAAUCUGGAAGAAUUUAGUCAUAAUCAGAAUCUAUUGACAAGACUGGAUGACUCACCAUCGGGAGACGUGCAAAGCAGACUAAAGCCCAAGCUGAGUCUUAUGGACUGUGAAACACCACUGAGGGCCUGAAACAGCACAGAUGUGUUUUCAACCUCACUAAACUGUGCACCACACUGAGGGCCUGAAACAGUACAGAUGUGUUUUUAACCUCACUCAACUGUGCAACACUCCGUCCUCCCAGGAGCACUUUCACAGCCCUACACACCAAAGGGGAAGCAGACAUUCAGGGCUGUUCCCCUGCAUAGGCUCUCUUGCCAGCCACCAUGUAAGACAUGCCUUUGCUACUCCUUCGCCUUCCACCAUGAUUGUGAGGCCUCCCCAGCCAUGUGAAACUCAAUAAAUGAAUAAAAGACAAAGCACGAUGCUGGCAGAUGAGAGAAGUGAACACAUUUUUGAAGAUAGAAAACAGAUAAGCUGAGAGCCAAGAGUCUGCAGAUACAGGAUGCUAUAAAAACACACCAGGAAAAGUUUGGAACCGUCUUCUUUUUUGGAAGUAACUUUCUUACUCAAAGGACAAGAUCUCCUGAUGGUGGCGGAGGGGAGGCUCCUCUGCAGUGUGCCUGGGCCCUGCCAGCCACCCUCCCAAAAGUUCACCAUUGAUGGGCUCCAGCAGUGCACACAAAGCCUCACACCAGCUUUUUUUGGUGCCUCACUCUAAAAAGUGAACAAAACAAAGACUACCAGAAUUUGAGAAAUGCCUUUAGUAUAAUGAGAAGAAGCCACCCAACCUAACCAAAAACGAAUCAAAACAAAAAUAUUGGCGGCGGGGGGAAGAGUCAAUGCAGGGAGCAGAAAAAACAACUCCAAACAUUAUCAGAGAGGUAAGAAAAGCUACACAAUCUAUCCAGCAAGAAGAGGAUACAAUAAAAACAAAUCAGAGAAUAAGAAUGUGUUCUCAGAAACUGAAAAAAAAAACACAGUAUAAUCAAAAACUUCAACUGAAGGAUUAGAAGACAAACUUGAGGAGAUAUUUCAUAAAAGAGAAUAAAAGACAAGGAGUGAAAAAGUUCUGAGCAUCAGUUGAGGAAAGCAAACAGAGCAAAUAGAAAAGACAGUAUUAUUGACAAAUAAAAUGAGAACACCUCCCAUAAAUAAAAGAGGUGAGUCUCCAGAUUGAAACAUUGAAUGGACAAAAGGCCAAUUUCAAGUUACCAGGGAUAAAUAAAAAAAAGCCCUAAAAAUGCCCAGGGAGGUGCAGUUCUUGCAGAAGGGAGGGGAGUGACAUGAUGGAGCGUGGGAAGAGGAACAGUCCCAUGGGUGGAUUUAAAUUUGAACGAAAGCAGACUCCUCAACAACAAAACGGUAAACAUAACAUGGAAUGAUGCCUUCAAUAUUCUGAAGGAAAAGGACUUCCAACUGGAAUUGUACCCAUGGCUGAGGAGACACACAAGCUAUUUUAGUUAGAAAAGUAACUCCCUCGCACAAACUCUAUCCCAAAAAGUCAGGAAAUGAAGAACAUAAAUUGGUGAAAAGAGCUCUCCAAGCCAGGAAUAGAAGCUCCAAGGAAAGGGAGAUAAAGGGAAUUCCAAGAUGGAAGAAAGACCUGGAAGGCAGCUGUGCAGCAGGUCUGGAGAGAAAGCAGUUCAGAUGGAGGAAGGGCAGAGGGCUAUCUUUGAGGUGAGAGGGGGAUUAAUGGACCCCCUGAUGUGUCUGGCUGUAGCUGAGUCAAAAGCCAGAUGGAGAAGUUUGUAUUUUUAGGUCACAUUGUGAUACAACCAGAGGGUGUUCAGUCAAAGCCAACCCAACAAGCAGGAGGAUGGCUGAGGAAAUGGGAAAGGCUACUUCCAAGGACAACAAGAGAUACAUGCCUAAGAGAUCAGGGGCCCAAAGUGUUCCCACAGGCCUCAAUUAAAAGGAAGGUCAAUGAUGCAAAACAAACGAUUACAUGUAAAGUCAGACCAACUGAACAAGAAUUCCAAGAGCUGCACCUCUAGUUCCUUCCAGAAGGAGCGUCUUAAGUCUCAGAAUAAUGCAUGGACCAUCCAAAAAACAGUUUAUCAGCUAUACAUGUACCUAUUGCUUUAUUGUUGUAGUAUUAUUAUUUUGCUUCAAAAUAUCAAUGCAUGGAUACUCUUAACAAUUUACUGGAAUUCUGUGUGUGUGUGUGUGUGUGUGUGUGUGUGUGUGUGUGUGUGUGUGUUCCAAUUCACUCAUUUCAUCAUUCAGUUUGAUAUUUCUUCCCUUUUGUAAUCAUUUUUAAAAAUUUGUAUAACUUUUUGAGUUGAAAGUUGAAUUAGUUCACUUUCAUUAUUUCUUACUGAGUAAGGUAUAGAUUUCUCUCUGAACAUAUGUACUAUGAUAUCCUAAAAGUUUAUCUCUUCAGUGUUCUCAUUAUACUAAGUCUAGAUUUUCUGAGAUUCAGGUCUGGGUUCUCCUCUGAUCCCAUGAUUGCUUAAGUGCUAGAGUGAUAGUUAGAAACGUUUUUGCAUUUGUUCUAGGUGACUGGACUUUUUCUCAACAAUUUCUUAUUUCAUUGCAUUUUGAUCAAAGACUAGGUCUGAUGUUUUGUUUUGAGAAUUUACUGAGUUGUGUGUGGCCUAACAGUAGAGUUUUGAGAAGUGCUUUUAGGCAGAUUUAUUCUGUUUUCAACUUGAUGUAUAUCUUUAGUCACUCUUCCUCGUUUUCUUAAAUCAUGUUAUUCAGAUUCUGUAUAUUCUUAUGUCUGUUUUGCCUGUUUACUCCAUCACUCUCUGAAAUGGGUGAAUUAAAGUCUCCUUAUAUUAUUUUAUUUCUCCUUAUAUUUUCUGCCAUUAUACUUUCCAAAACAUGAUAUUAUACUCUUUAGUGAAUAAAGACUAUGUCUGUUUGAAUCUCAUCAUAAAAUUGAAUCUUUUGUAGUGUAAAGAGCUCUCAUUUACAGAUGAAGAAAUGAAGUUAGGAAUAGUGGGGUGAUUUGCCUCAUACUGCAGAGUGAGCAGUCAGUCUGGAUGUCCAGUUCAGGUGAGUUCCAGGCCUUAAACCUGACUAGUGAGACUGACACCCCCCACCUGCCACACACACACAUUCACUCACAAAGGGGAACAGACGUGAAAAGAAGAAAACAUCUAAAAUAAUUUCCAUCAUUAUUUUUGGGCUGACAGAACAAUUCCAGGUAAAUCCUGAAUAGAGGGUGAGUUGUCCUAUAAGUUUCCACUAAGAGCACCCAAAAAUAUAUUAGAUUUAUCUGAUACCCGCCCCCCCCCAACUUCUGAGCAGCAAAUGCUCCUCUUCUAUUUGUAUUGUUUCAGGUUUGACACUUCAGUCAUGUAUGCUGUGCCCUGUGUCCCACACAGGAGUUCUAGGGCAAGAGGCCUUCACAUUGUAACAAUAUCUGGCUCUCAAUGUAAAUAAUAUAAUUAUUGGUUCUUCAAUAAAUUACCUGUGUAUGUUUUAUGACACAGAGGUAGAUCAAGUCUUCUGGAGUCUGUGUUCUACUCAUUUGGAAAAAAAAAAAUUCAUAUCUAAUCCUGGACCUUGACUCAAAAGUAAAUUUACAUCUUGUAGUCCCAAUAUUGUCAUCUCUAAAUAUUCCUAUGUUAACAAAUACACCUACUUCACUUUAUUCUCUAUGUAAAUUC
Molecule: long non-coding RNA, 3862 nt
Organism: Gorilla gorilla gorilla (western lowland gorilla)
Lineage: Eukaryota; Metazoa; Chordata; Mammalia; Primates; Hominidae
Exons: 5
Source: RefSeq, a predicted model, not a curated record